AUGGGGAGGACCAAUUCAUUAUUUUGGGCUGAUUCCAGCUCUGCUGAACCUGCAUCUGCUGCUGGAGAGACCCCAGAGCACACUUCCCAACCUCCUCCUCAGAGCUCUCAGGCUGCACGGCUCUGCCUAUGUCCUUGUUCCCCUCAUUGCCAAGUUUCAGGGGUAACUGUCAGCCCCACAUAUCACCAGCUGCCAGUGUCUAUCACAGAGAACUGGAAAGACAGAGUGAUCCAGGUUGUUGGAACCAGCAGGAUGCUAGGAAAUGAUGUUGCUAUACCGUGUAGACAGAUGAUUACACAUGAGCACCCUGGACAACCCAGGAAUGUCCUGGAAGCACCUGCUUCACACCCAGCCCUGGUAGACAAAUCACACAUUUGGGCAGCUAAUUUCUCUGUUAUUUUCUCUGCCAAGCACAGAAAUGAACAGCCCAAAAAGGGCAGGAAGAAACAGAGCCAAGAGUUUAUAUGCUCCUGAUUUAAAACAUAAGAAUAAGAGAAAUAUUCCCACCAUGCAAAUAACAAAUAGACCAACCCUUACUCCCCAGCCAAAUAUUGAUAUUUCCUUUAAAUUUUUGACGAAAAUAUCUGUGCUUGGGGGUAGGGAGAGACUUGUGGUUAUUUGGCCCAAAGCUGUUCUAGGUCAUAGGCAGCCAUUAAAAUUAUGAUUUUCAAACAAAAGUUACAGAUUUAGAUUGACUUUUGAGCCCAAAGUUAUUUUGACAUUUCAUAAAAUAAAUCAUCAGAUAAGCACAUCACAUUAUGUUGACAACAGUGCCCAAAAUAGUUUCACUAUUUUUAGUAUUUAUAUCAUUUUAUUUUUAUUGAUUUAUAAUUAUAUAAUUUAUAAUUAAAUAAUAUCUAUAUUUGGGAUUUUAAACAGCCAGUAUAAAUAGACAAGAAUGGAACAGUUACAGUCAUGUAUAUGGCAGGCAAUAUGUAAGGCAUCAGUUUUCCUGGAAUGUGUGAUUUCUCUCCUGAAUGGUGAUUAAAUUCAUCUCCCAAGAAGCUUUUGGUUUGAAUCCAGGUAGACCAAGCAAAACAAAAGACAAUACAGCAUCGGACCCACAGUUUUAAACUUGUCAGCUAAACAAUUCAGAUGGUCUCUUUCUUCAGUCAUGGCCACUGUGCGCUCAAUCAGCUCAGCCUGUAAUUGAUUCCUGUCCUGAAUCAAAUGCCAAGGACCCCGUUCUUAAUACUCCUGCCCUGACUUCCCCCAAAGGUGUGGCAAUGGUAGUCUGAAGUGGGAAAGCUGUGUCUGGAGCCUGCCUGCACCUCUUGUAAAAAACUGAACUGAGAAACGCCAGCUUGCAAUUCAAUGCACAAAAAUUGACAUCCAUUUCAGAAGCAAUGCUCAGUCAACUAACUUGGCAUUUGAGGGGGUGGAGAGUUGCCUUUUCCAAAAAGAACAAGGCUACAUGGGACAGGAUCCUGCCUGUAGAGGUAAUAAAGAAAAGGAGGCUGGGUGUCGUGACUCACACCUGUAAUCCCAGCACUUUGCGGGCCCAGGGCCAGAGGAUCACCUUGAGCUCAGGAGUUUGAGACCACCCUGGGCAACAUACUGGGAUCCUGUCUCUACUAAAAAUUACUUUUUAAAAAAUAGCCAGACAUGGUGGUGUGCACCUGUAGCCCCAGCUAUUCAGGAGGAUGAGGUGGGAGGACUGCUUGAACCCAUGAGGUAAAAGCUACAGUGAGUUAUGUUUGCAGCACUGCACUACAG
Molecule: long non-coding RNA, 1716 nt
Filed under: Papio anubis (olive baboon)
Lineage: Eukaryota; Metazoa; Chordata; Mammalia; Primates; Cercopithecidae
Description: lncRNA (ENSPANG00000050815.1)
Source: RNAcentral